GGAGAAGAGGUGAGAGAAGAAUGGGAGCGAUUCGAGUUAUAAUUGGUUGUGAGGGAGGGGUCUAGGUACAGAUGACUGAGGACGGAUGAAGAGAAAUAGAAGGACCAGGCGAAUAAAAGUGAGGACCUGAAGGAGAAGAAGGAGAAGGUGGAGGAGAAGGCAAGCCGGAAAGAGCGAAAGAAAGAAGUGGUGGAGGAGGAGGAGAACGGGGCUGAGGAGGAAGAAGAAGAAACUGCCGAGGAUGGAGAGGAGGAAGAUGAAGGGGAAGAAGAAGAUGAGGAAGAAGAAGAAGAGGAUGACGAAGGGCCCGCGCUGAAGAGAGCUGCCGAAGAGGAGGAUGAAGCGGAUCCCAAACGGCAGAAGACAGAAAAUGGGGCAUCGGCGUGAGCCCCUGCCAACAGGCUGGGGUUGGGAGGCCUCUCUGGGCCUGGAGGUGGGGGUGGGGGCAGACAAGUCCAGCCACUCUUCACCUGGCUCCCUGCUCUGGGCCCUGCACCAGAGCUGCCACCCUCUUCUUUCUCCCCAGCCUUCUCAUUUCCGCCUCUCCAGACACUGCGCCCUCCACCCUCACUCUGCCAUUGUUCCACCUCCUGACCUGCUCCAUCUGAGCUCUCCAGCUGGCCCCCAAUUGCUCCUCUCUCUCUUUGCUCUCUUUCUCCCUCCCCUACCAGCCUCAUUCUUCCUCCGGUAGCCUCUCCCACCUAACCUCUGCAUCCCCCAGCCUCAUGUUCUGCCCCAUCCCUAUCCUGCCUGAUCCCUGGAUCUCCCUCAGAUCCCCUCUUCUCAGACAGCGCCAGGCCGGGGUGGGGCCGGGGUUGGG
This 820-nucleotide small RNA is filed under the name Pan troglodytes (chimpanzee). Its description in RNAcentral is "processed transcript". The record is from RNAcentral. Lineage: Eukaryota; Metazoa; Chordata; Mammalia; Primates; Hominidae.